UGUAAGGGUCUCGCUAUUCUCCCCUGUCACUGAGUCCUGACCUUGGAAUCCGGUGGUAAUUCUGUAUACACAUUCAGAAAAUAGCGACUCUCUUAGAGUUAAUGUGUGUGUGUGUGUGCGCGUAGAGUUAAUGUGUAUGUGUGCGUGCGCGCGCGCGCGAGCGUUCGUACGUGCAAACAGAAAGAGCGAGUUAAAAGGAGAUGUUUUUGCGUGUAGGGUUGUGUGCAGGCUUUUGGAUGGGUUUAUCAAAUGGUUGUGUGUGUGUGCGCGCGCGUGCGUGCGUGCGUAUGCCUGAGUUGUGUGGAGUAUCCAAAUAUAGCCAGACUCAGAGAACGAUGUUCACUAUGUUAUGAGACAAGGAAAGAAGGUGACUAGGUUUGGUGCUCAGGUGACCUGUACAAAUACUACGAAUGGAGGAUUGAUGGACUUGUUGUGGUUAUUCCAGUCCAAGAGUCUGAGCUAAAAAGAAACAGACAGAAAGAGAGGAAUGGAAAUCUGAGUCAACAGAUCAGGAGAGCCCAUAACAGAUGUUAGAAACGUGAAUAAUGACAUUUGAGUGUGUUUUCUGAAUGCCUGUUAUCAUGUCAUUCAUGUUUAAGCUGCUGAAUGCCUUCUUAUGCUCACAUUUCUGAAAUGUUUUUGCAUGUUUUGCAAUGUUUUCGGCAUCUUUUCUGUAUUGCUUUUGAUUGUAACCAGGUAUAUUGAUUACAUUAAUUUAGAGGUAAUCUAUAAGUUUAUUGUUGUUUAUUUUUUAACGAAAAUAUGACGUCAUCCUGAAAUUUCUUUCUUCUGAGUCUGAGUACGUCAGUGAUACUAUUAUGCAAUAAGUACUGUAAAUCAUUGAUAUAAGCAGUGAUUUAUUAUUUUCUAUUAAUUCUUAAUGAGAAUACAAGUGAUGUUUUCAUUCUCAUUAAUUUAGCAGUUUUUAUAAAUUAAGUGUGAAACUGACAUCGUGUUAGUAAACAUACCAUGCGUUACAUCCAAAGCUCAGACGUACGUCAGAUUGUAAAACCUCAGCACAGUCAGACUUAUUUUUUCCAACUAUAUAAAUAGUAAAUUUAUAGUGACCUUCUGUGAGUGAUCAUUGAUUUUAUAUCAAAAUAAAAUGUAUAAAUUGCAGUUGCAUACAUAUCGUUGCCAAUUUUAUCUUAAAUCUACAAUCUAAAAUCUAUGUUUGUGAUUCAAUCUACAAAAAUAAACAUUAUGCAAGCAGCAAACAAAGCAAUGUGUAUAUGAAUAUGUAGUAAGCCUUAAUGCAGCAUGUUGCACAUGUAUAGAUCUGUAUUGUGUUCCACUUUUCCAUAGGUUGAAUGAUGACUAUAUUGAUCUACAUGUUUUUUUAAAGAAACAUAAACGCUUAUGAUGUCUUUUUAAAACUUUUCAGUUAAAUCUGUUAAUUGAAUUCAACAUAUAAGUAUAUGCAUUCUUUUCAAUGUUAUAUUCUUUUCAGCUGUUAUUGAUUUGAAUCUAGUCAUGAAUAACAGCAUCCUCAUGGUUAUGUUCUUAGUGAUAUAUUUUGGGGCUUUUAUGCCUUGAAUGACAGCGUACAGUGGAGAGUGGAUAGGAAAAUAUUUGGAUGAGAGAGGGGAGCAGGACUGGCAAAGAACCACUGAGAACAGGAAUCGAACCCAGGUCGCCCUGAGCGCACUGGUGCUAUGUGUCGGCACAAUAACCACAGGGCAACUGACAACGACAUUGUCAUUGUUUCAAAGAGUAUUACUCAUUUACAUAAUUUUUCUUCACUCUUACCAGGUUCUUUUUUUUUGCGUUAAACAGACCAUGGCCCGGUUUCACAGAAAAGGCUUAAGGGUAGUCACCGACAUUUCAACUGUCUUAAAUGAAAACAACAUGCCCUGAAAUAUCUUAUAUGUCAGUCCCAUUAUUUUGUCUCAUGAUGAACACCAGUAAUGUUUUUUCAAAUGGAUUUUUUUAUAAAAGUGACUUAAAUAUACUAAUUUAUCUAAGGCCUGGUCCUGGCUUAAGCUAGGCAUUGUCUUUGAAACCGGGCCUAUGUGUUGGGAGACAUAACCUACUGCAAACUAGGGGUAGCACAGAAUGAGUUUAUACCCACUAUGUUUUUACCCCUGUUGUUCUUUGGUAGUUUUUUAGUGGCCCAUGACAACACAAUAUGGUUUAUGUGCCUCAUGCUGUAGUAAGAUUUAAAUAACAUUACAUUAAAAUUAUAAAGAUAGAAAUUCAUUUGACUUACCUACAUCUGAUUUAUACAUUAUUGUUUUUUAGGGAAAGUGAUACAUACGUUAUAUACAAAGCAUAUCCCCUAUGCACUGCCUUUUUUCUUUGCACUUGACAACAUGACAGUUUUAAAAUAUCACAGUAAUUUAAGCUUUUGAAAUGUAUAACAAUUAUUCACUUGACCUUAAUGUGUAUUUUUUUAGGUUUCAAUAAUAAGGAGUACUGAGUCUGGAACGCAACAGCAAAAGUAAUGCUCACAGCCGAGAUGUGGUCACAAUUGGCUGCAUUGUGUCUCAAGUUGGCCAAAGUGAUCACUAAAAGACGUUCUUGAAGAUUUGUAUCUGCAUAUUUGAAACAGAACAGUAAGUCAACAUAGAUUUUAAAUUGAUAUGAUCAAAUAGUUAUUAUAUCACUUUGAACAUUUUCUUGUUGCUAUGCCUCUAAGAUCUCUUAAUUUUGUCUAAACAUUACAUUAAGACAGAAGGAAUAUGAUAAAAUAAUAUGUAUCGUAUAUAGAAUAUACUACAGCCUUUCGCAAAGUUGUAUUUCUGCACAUUUAAACACUGUGUUAAAAACUCAGUAAUUUCUGUCUGCAAUUGAAUAUAUUUUAUUUAUUACUUUAGUAAAUACUGUACCUCUGAUAACAAAAUAUAAAAUUGGAAAUACUGUUCUUUAAAUAGUUGUCUUUCACGCUAAUAACAAGACUUGGAUGCGUUGAAAAAAGCAUUAUACAGGUAGCUUCUUUUCAGAAAGGCGCUGUCUAUAAAUGAAUGUCAAAUGAUUAUGACAUUUUACUACCCAAACCACAUUUCCUUGUCAAUUGAUUUGAAAUUAAAGCUUCUUCUGACUGUCAUGUGUCAUGUAUAGAAACAAGUGGAAUUGGACCCAACUGGGACAUGUAAAAAUACUAAAACAAAAUUCUAAUAAAAUAAACAUACACAUCAUUUUCUAGCAUUGUUACACAUUUCAUUUUAUGGGAUUUUUAAGGGAUGUAGAUUUCAUCUAGAUUGACAUUGGCUAAUAGAAUGACCAGGGCCUUGGUUGCUUAUAUCAUACUUAUAUCAUAGCACAAACUGCUGUGAAGCUAACAAAGUCUCAUAAAGAUAGUAAUGGAUUUUGACAGAUCAAACAUGACAUUUGACCAUAAGCAUAAUACAUGAAAAAAUUAUAUGAGCAUUGAGAGGGUUUAACUUGAAUUAUUUGAAUCAAUAAUUUUGUUUUUUAAUUGUCUGUAUUUGUAAAUGAAGGCUGGUGGUCAGAAAACAAUUUAAACUAACAAUGAAAAAUAUUUGAACAAAGAUAAAAAAUACACAAUACAAACUAUAAUUUUUGGUCUGCUCAUUAACAGAAAAAACUAAGCUUUCAUUCUAAAGAAAAAAUAUUUUGAGAAAACUCUUUAUUAUUAUUUUUUAUUAUGGGUGAUUCAAUAAAAUUAAGAAUCACUAAAAAUGUAUGGAGGCAUUUAAUGCCUAAAGAAAACCUCCUUAAUAAACAUAAUGUCUAAGUUUCAGUUUAUCAAAACAUUUAACAUUUGAACAUUUUUAUAUUGUGAUGCGUUACAAACCAUACUUUGCAAGUACUAAAAAGACUUGGUAAGUCUGACAACAUAGUAUUGUGGAGAUGCUCUAUUAUUAAAGUUUUUGUAAAACCAGUUAACAAUUUUUUAGGCUUCCUUUAAAAUCUAUGUAAAGUUGCAUUAGGAUUAAAUGUACUAAUAAUGGUGUUUGUUUUAAAAUAAUAAAUUUAGUUUUCCUUUUGGAUAGCUAACUAAAAAUGUUUGUUUUGUGUAUCAACUUUCAAGCAGAUCUAAUUGCUGUAUAUUUUUCCUCUUUAAGGAUUGAAAUGAUGUUCUUUUACUUGUCAUCAUACUGUUCUUGUACCGGGAUCUUUUUACAAGUUAUUUUGUACAUUAUAUUGUUGAGUUUAAUGAGCAGUUGCAUAGAUUGUUCUACAAACGAAUAUUACCAUAUUGUGAAGAUUAUCCUAAUGUGAUGAUGAAUGUAUUGCAAAAUAGAAAAUAUGCACUUUGAGUUUACGUUUGUAUGUGUAAUUCUUUUAAGAUUAAAUGCCAAAAAAGCUUCUCGUCAUUUAUUUCAGUCACUAUGAUUAAAAUCAAUAAAAAUUAAGCUAAUAAAAGAGGGAGAGAGCAAGACAGAGAGUGAGAGGAAGAAAAAAAGAGCAUUGCACAAGUUAUGUAACGGUAUGACAUGUAUGUUAAAUUUGAAGAAAUAUAUGCUCUUUCUUAGUAGGUUGCUGCGAUUCAUUUAAUCCAAUAUUUAAACUGGGUAAUAACAAAAUACAGAGGUCCAAGGACACAGGGAUUAAACUAUAUUUUAUAUCUUAAAAUGUGUCUGUGAUAUUUGAAUAAAGCACAAUUCUUUUUUAAUGUUCAGCUGAAAACAAAUCUUUUUAAAUGUGGAGUUUAAAUCAUUUAUCUUUCCAAAUAUGUGUAAUGAUUGUGAGAAGUAUCUUUGCAUGCAAGCAAUGUUAGACGUUUAUGCUUUGUGGUGUUGCAGCUAU
Molecule: long non-coding RNA, 4713 nt
Organism: Triplophysa dalaica
Lineage: Eukaryota; Metazoa; Chordata; Actinopteri; Cypriniformes; Nemacheilidae
Exons: 3
Source: RefSeq, a predicted model, not a curated record